RNAcentral lists this ribosomal RNA (819 nucleotides) under Bradyrhizobium sp. U13. RNAcentral's name for it is "bacterial SSU rRNA". It matches the Rfam family "Bacterial small subunit ribosomal RNA", at positions 97 to 950 of the family's 1533-position model. The record is from RNAcentral. Lineage: Bacteria; Pseudomonadati; Pseudomonadota; Alphaproteobacteria; Hyphomicrobiales; Nitrobacteraceae.
GGCAGACGGGUGAGUAACGCGUGGGAACAUACCUCUUGGUUCGGAACAACACAGGGAAACUUGUGCUAAUACCGGAUAAGCCCUUACGGGGAAAGAUUUAUCGCCGAGAGAUUGGCCCGCGUCUGAUUAGCUAGUUGGUAGGGUAAUGGCCUACCAAGGCGACGAUCAGUAGCUGGUCUGAGAGGAUGAUCAGCCACAUUGGGACUGAGACACGGCCCAAACUCCUACGGGAGGCAGCAGUGGGGAAUAUUGGACAAUGGGGGCAACCCUGAUCCAGCCAUGCCGCGUGAGUGAUGAAGGCCCUAGGGUUGUAAAGCUCUUUUGUGCGGGAAGAUAAUGACGGUACCGCAAGAAUAAGCCCCGGCUAACUUCGUGCCAGCAGCCGCGGUAAUACGAAGGGGGCUAGCGUUGCUCGGAAUCACUGGGCGUAAAGGGUGCGUAGGCGGGUUUUUAAGUCAGGGGUGAAAUCCUGGAGCUCAACUCCAGAACUGCCUUUGAUACUGAAGAUCUUGAGUCCGGGAGAGGUGAGUGGAACUGCGAGUGUAGAGGUGAAAUUCGUAGAUAUUCGCAAGAACACCAGUGGCGAAGGCGGCUCACUGGCCCCGGUACUGACGCUGAGGCACGAAAGCGUGGGGAGCAAACAGGAUUAGAUACCCCUGGUAGUCCACGCCGUAAACGAUGAAUGCCAGCCGUUAGUGGGUUUACUCACUAGUGGCGCAGCUAACGCUUUAAGCAUUCCGCCUGGGGAGUACGGUCGCAAGAUUAAAACUCAAAGGAAUUGACGGGGGCCCGCACAAGCGGUGGAGCAUGUGGUUAAUU